Hippopotamus amphibius kiboko is the source of this 365-nucleotide long non-coding RNA. RefSeq lists it as uncharacterized. NCBI's taxonomy places the organism in Eukaryota, Metazoa, Chordata, Mammalia, Artiodactyla, Hippopotamidae. The transcript has 3 exons. The record is from RefSeq and is a predicted model, not a curated record.
GGAGAACUGCAGGAAAUGAGAGGACCAGGUGUGGGAGGACUCGCCCUCACGUGCACUGAAAGCUCAGAGCAGAAAGUGGGAUAAUCGGUCACAUUUGGCCAAUCCCUAGAACACAGAAGCAGAUAGAGACCCGGAGAAACCAAGGACAGCCUCUGUCCUUGGGGUGCCUGGCCCAGUGCUGGUGAGUGACAGGCCCAGGAAAGGAGGGAGAGAAUUUUUCCCCAGCCUGUAGAAUCACUCUCCUGAUUGUCCUUCUGCAGGUACAAGGCUUCGACUCUUCCAAGGUUCUGUGCUACUUCAUGUCACAUCUUUGAGCAGCUUCCAUGGAGUAAACGAAACUGUCACUUGAAGGGCUGGAUCUGAGG